UCAUCCGUAACCUUUGACGUUGGAGCCGCAGCAGCCAGCUGUUACAAAUCGCGUCACUUCUCGCCAGCUGAUCGGAGACGCCGGCCGAGUGAGAGACGCCUAGAAAAAGACCCAGAAUCGCUUUUCUCCUUACCGAGGCAGGCGGUCGGUCGGGCGAGUACUCCGGACUGGCGAGGAUGGAUCCAGUGUUGUGGGACUCUUGGCUAACCUACAUUAGUUCUUCUCUGGCAAACUUUAUGUUCCUAUUCACAUGCUAAAGCUGCCAGCUGAAGAGCUGUUGUGGUCAGCUUUGACCUGCUCCUGCUUUCCAAAACUUUUGGCACUUUUUGUUCUUAUCGACAGUAACAUCCUGCUCCUGAUUUUCAUGUUGUGACGUAUGUGAAUAUACAAAACCUGCAAAUGUAUUCGCUCCCUUCUCGAACCUUUUCCAUACCGUAACAUCCAGUAUUGGUGAAUACGUUGUUCUGUAGAAAAAAAAAACAUAAGCAUUUUCAUAAGAAACAAUAUUUUCCUUCUUUUAAUUAUUCGCUUGUGGUUUAUUGUGUAGGUUCACUGUGGUCUGCUUCAUUAACUCUGUCUACAUAAAUAUAAAAGCUAGCAUUAAAUUAAAGGGUAAAGAAAUGUAAUAAAUAAGAAGCAUUAAACACUAGAUAGCGGUCCUUGUUACUGGAUUGCUGAUGUACUGAAUAUAAUCAAACUGUAUGAAGAAUUUUGUUAAUAAUGUUUAAUAUGUUCCUAUAAUUAUGCAAGCAGGGCUUCUUCUGAUUUUAUGAAAGCUUUUUUUUUUCUUUGUAUUUCUUUGAUGUUAGAAAUUAAAUGAAGAAGAUCCAGAUGAAAGAAAUUUACAGAACAUUUGUUUCUUUAUUUAAUCCUAGUUUUCUUCAUUGACAUAUUUGAUUUACACAAAAGUUGAUUUAAAAAAAAAAGAAAAGCCAAAGAAAUUUCUGACCCGCUUCCUGAAUACUUGGUAGCACCGCUGCUGUCUGUAUUUACAGGUGCGGGACUUCCGGGGUUCCGUUUAUUUCACUUUUGCACAUCUGGAUGCUGAUGUAAAUUCUGCCCUGUUGGAUGGAGGCCAUUUUUUAAGUCCUGCCUCACAUUUUUAACCAGUCUGCAGUCUGAGCUUUGACUGGGUCAUGCGAACGUUGUUAGAAGACGUUUUUUUAAACCGUUCCGCUCCCCAUGACACUAUGCUACCACCACCAUGCUUCACUUCUGGGUUACGAACAGGGUCAAGUUGUCACCAAAUGUAACCCUAGGUUAGCCGAGUCUCUGUGUCUUCAUUGUGCCUUUUGGUUCUCUAAAAGAGAGACCGCAUGUCCGGGGAACAGUGUGUCAUGUGAACACAGGGUAUCAUCUGAGAUCUCUCCAGUUCCUUCACGCUUCUUCGUUGCUUCUCUAAUUCUUUACUCAUCAGAUCGCUGAAUUGGUGCACGUCUGCUUGCGGUUGUUCAGAAUUCUAUACAAAAGACAAAGCUAAUGUUUUUGUUCUUGUUGAUGUUGCUAAGCUUUUGUAGUGACAACAUGUGAAUGAAUCACAUGACACAGAUGGUAUUUUGGCCCCAAGGCAAAACCCAGAGAGUAAAGUAAGAUAAAAGUCUUGCUAACUUUUAAAAUGGUUGAAAUGCGAGUCGGUGUCUUUGAGGUCUUCUGGGAUUUUUUCAUAUGCUGUAUAUGAGGAGAAAAUUUGCAUUUCAGGAGCCUUGUGUACUUUUGUACAAAUAAAGAAAUGACACCGUGUUCUUUUACAUAAUUCAUUUGACCUUUUCUGACUCCUGUUAUUCAGGUUCAUGCUAAACUUUUUGAUGUAAAUAAAUUCCAUUGCCACAGA
This is a long non-coding RNA of Tachysurus fulvidraco (yellow catfish), 1831 nucleotides long. RefSeq lists it as uncharacterized. Lineage: Eukaryota; Metazoa; Chordata; Actinopteri; Siluriformes; Bagridae. The record is from RefSeq and is a predicted model, not a curated record. The transcript has 2 exons.